Molecule: ribosomal RNA, 490 nt
Filed under: uncultured bacterium
Lineage: Bacteria
Description: partial 16S ribosomal RNA
Rfam family: Bacterial small subunit ribosomal RNA
Source: RNAcentral
GAUGAACGCUAGCUACAGGCUUAACACAUGCAAGUCGAGGGGCAGCAUGGUCUUAGCUUGCUAAGGCCGAUUGCGACCGGCGCACGGGUGAGUAACACGUAUCCAACCUGCCGUCUACUCUUGGACAGCCUUCUGAAAGGAAGAUUAAUACAAGAUGGCAUCAUGAGUCCGCAUGUUCACAUGAUUAAAGGUAUUCCUGUAGACGAUGGGGAUGCGUUCCAUUAGAUAGUAGGCGGGGUAACGGCCCACCUAGUCUUCGAUGGAUAGGGGUUCUGAGAGGAAGGUCCCCCACAUGGGAACUGAGACACGGACCAAACUCGUACGGGAGGCAGCAGUGAGGAAUAUUGGUCAAUGGGCGCAGGCCUGAACCAGCCAAGUAGAGUGAAGGAUGACUGCCCUAUGGGUUGUAAACUUCUUUUAUAAAGGAAUAAAGUCGGGUAUGUAUACCCGUUUGCAUGUACUUUAUGAAUAAGGAUCGGCUAACUCCGUG